Molecule: ribosomal RNA, 253 nt
Filed under: uncultured bacterium
Lineage: Bacteria
Description: partial 16S ribosomal RNA
Rfam family: Bacterial small subunit ribosomal RNA
Source: RNAcentral
GCAAGUCGAGGGGCAGCAUUUCUAGCUUGCUAGAAGAUGGCGACCGGCGCACGGGUGAGUAACGCGUAUGCAACCUACCUUAUACUGGGGGAUAGCCCAAAGAAAUUUGGAUUAAUACCGCAUAACAAUAUUUUAUCGCAUGGUAAGAUAUUUAAAACUCCGGUGGUAUAAGAUGGGCAUGCGUAGCAUUAGUUAGUUGGUGAGGUAAUGGCUCACCAAGACUACGAUAGGUAGGGGGUCUGAGAGGAUGAUC